Molecule: ribosomal RNA, 432 nt
Filed under: uncultured bacterium
Lineage: Bacteria
Description: partial 16S ribosomal RNA
Rfam family: Bacterial small subunit ribosomal RNA
Source: RNAcentral
ACGAACGCUGGCGGCAUGCCUAACACAUGCACGUCGAACGAGACCUUCGGGUCUAGUGGCGCACGGGUGCGUAACGCGUGGGAACCUGCCUUUAGGUUCGGAAUAACUCAGAGAAAUUUGAGCUAAUACCGGAUGAUGUCUUCGGACCAAAGAUUUAUCGCCUUUAGAUGGGCCCGCGUUGGAUUAGCUAGUUGGUGGGGUAAAGGCCUACCAAGGCGACGAUCCAUAGCUGGUCUGAGAGGAUGAUCAGCCACACUGGGACUGAGACACGGCCCAGACUCCUACGGGAGGCAGCAGUGGGGAAUAUUGGACAAUGGGCGAAAGCCUGAUCCAGCAAUGCCGCGUGAGUGAUGAAGGCCUUAGGGUUGUAAAGCUCUUUUACCCGAGAUGAUAAUGACAGUAUCGGGAGAAUAAGCUCCGGCUAACUCCGUG